Molecule: ribosomal RNA, 484 nt
Filed under: uncultured bacterium
Lineage: Bacteria
Description: partial 16S ribosomal RNA
Rfam family: Bacterial small subunit ribosomal RNA
Source: RNAcentral
AUUGAACGCUGGCGGCAGGCCUAACACAUGCAAGUCGAGCGGAUGAAGGGAGCUUGCUCCUGGAUUCAGCGGCGGACGGGUGAGUAAUGCCUAGGAAUCUGCCUGGUAGUGGGGGAUAACGUCCGGAAACGGGCGCUAAUACCGCAUACGUCCUGAGGGAGAAAGUGGGGGAUCUUCGGACCUCACGCUAUCAGAUGAGCCUAGGUCGGAUUAGCUAGUUGGUGGGGUAAAGGCCUACCAAGGCGACGAUCCGUAACUGGUGUGAGAGGAUGAUCAGUCACACUGGAACUGAGACACGGUCCAGACUCCUACGGGAGGCAGCAGUGGGGAAUAUUGGACAGUGGGCGAAAGCCUGAUCCAGCCAUGCCGCGUGUGUGAAGAAGGUCUUCGGAUUGUAAAGCACUUUAAGUUGGGAGGAAGGGCAGUAAGUUAAUACCUUGCUGUUUUGACGUUACCAACAGAAUAAGCACCGGCUAACUUCGUG